UACACAUGCAAGUCGAACGCGCAGCAUUCUGUAGCAAUACAGGGUGUGGGCGCGUGGCGAACGGGUGCGUAACACGUGGAUAACCUUCCUUCAGGUGGGGAAUUAACCCAGUGAAAACUGGGCUAAUACCGCAUAACAUGACGAUGGCACAUGCUGUUGUCUUCAAAGGCGCAAGUCGCCAGAAGAGGGAUCCGCGGCCGAUUAGCUUGUUGGCGAGGUAAUGGCUCACCAAGGCAUUGAUCGGUACCGGACUGAGAGGUUGGCCGGCCACACUGGAACUGAGACACGGUCCAGACUCCUACGGGAGGCAGCAGUGGGGAAUCUUGCACAAUGGACGAAAGUCUGAUGCAGCAACGCCGCGUGGGGGAUGAAGCUUCUCGGAGUGUAAACCCCUUUCGACCCGGAAGAAUGCCCGAAGGGUUUGACGGUACGGGUAUAAGAAGCCCCGGCUAACUACGUGCCAGCAGCCGCGGUAAAACGUAGGGGGCCAGCGUUGCUCGGAAUUACUGGGCGUAAAGGGUCCGUAGGCGGUGUGGCAAGUCGGUAGUGAAAUCUCUGGGCUUUAACC
This 568-nucleotide ribosomal RNA is filed under the name uncultured bacterium. RNAcentral's name for it is "bacterial SSU rRNA". It matches the Rfam family "Bacterial small subunit ribosomal RNA", at positions 50 to 614 of the family's 1533-position model. The record is from RNAcentral.